This 549-nucleotide long non-coding RNA is filed under the name Sorghum bicolor (sorghum). RNAcentral's name for it is "long non-coding RNA (SBIC_LNC001976)". The record is from RNAcentral. Lineage: Eukaryota; Viridiplantae; Streptophyta; Magnoliopsida; Poales; Poaceae.
GGGAAUGCCGACGUUGACACUGGCUACCUCCUCAGCUGGGUAAACAUAUGGCUCCCUGAUCACCGGUGGGCUCCGGUUGCAGUAGAGGCCAUGUCCAACCGGCCUGUCAUAGGGGUAAGGGGAGGCUGUGGUGUAUGAUGGGUGGGACGGGGAGGCUGUGGCGUAUGUUGGGUGGGAAGGGGAGGCUGUGGCAUAUGCGGUGUGGGAAGGGGAGGUCAUGGCGUAUGCGGUGUGGGAAGGGGAGGUCGUGGCAUAUGCGGUGUGGGAAGGGGAGGUCGUGGCAUAUGAGGUAUGGGAAGGGGAGGUCGUGGCAUAUGAGGCAUGGGAGGGAGACUGGGUAAAUGUGGUGGGAGCUGGGAAAGAAGACACACAAGCAUUGUUAGUGAGACGACCUGCCUUGGCAGGAGGCAUUGGGCCUCCAUUGCUUGCACGGAUGCGCUUGGUUGCAGGGCCGCUGCUGCUGCCACUGGUAGCGCUUGAUGCUGCCUUUUUCUUCUCAGUCUUGGCUUUCUCCAGCUCUUCAAGUUGCUUCCGAAGAUCCUCCAGUGA